UACGUAGGGGGCAAGCGUUGUUCGGAUUCAUUGGGCGUAAAGGGCGCGUAGGUGGCGUCGUAAGUCGGGUGUGAAAUUUCGGAGCUCAACUCCGAAACUGCAUUCGAUACUGCGGUGCUUGAGGACUGGAGAGGAGACUGGAAUUUACGGUGUAGCAGUGAAAUGCGUAGAGAUCGUAAGGAAGACCAGUGGCGAAGGCGGGUCUCUGGACAGUUCCUGACACUGAGGCACGAAGGCCAGGGGAGCAAACGGG
RNAcentral lists this ribosomal RNA (253 nucleotides) under uncultured bacterium. RNAcentral describes it as "partial 16S ribosomal RNA". It matches the Rfam family "Bacterial small subunit ribosomal RNA", at positions 524 to 776 of the family's 1533-position model. The record is from RNAcentral.